Molecule: ribosomal RNA, 481 nt
Filed under: iodate-reducing bacterium M1
Lineage: Bacteria
Description: bacterial SSU rRNA
Rfam family: Bacterial small subunit ribosomal RNA
Source: RNAcentral
AGUUCGAUCCUGGCUCAGAAUGCACGCUGGCGGCAGGCCUACACACAUGCAAGUCGAGCGGAUGAGUGGAGCUGUGUCUCCAUGAUUCAGCGGCGGACGGGUGAGUAAUGCCUAGGAAUCUGCCUGGUAGUGGGGGACAACGCUUUGCGAAAGCGCAACGACUAAUACCGCAUACGUCCUACGGGAGAAAGCAGGGGACCUUCGGGCCUUGCGCUAUCAGAUGAGCCUAGGUCGGAUUAGCUAGUUGGUGAGGUAAAGGCUCACCAAGGCGACGAUCCGUAACUGGUCUGAGAGGAUGAUCAGUCACAUCUGGAACUGAGACACGGUCCAGACUCCUACGGGAGGCAGCAGUGGGGAAUAUUGGACAAUGGGCGCAAGCCUGAUCCAGCCAUGCCGCGUGUGUGAAGAAGGUCUUCGGAUUGUAAAGCACUUUCAAGUUGGGAGGAAGGCGCAGUAAGUUAAUACCUUGCUGUUUUGACGU